Molecule: long non-coding RNA, 662 nt
Organism: Tarenaya hassleriana
Lineage: Eukaryota; Viridiplantae; Streptophyta; Magnoliopsida; Brassicales; Cleomaceae
Exons: 2
Source: RefSeq, a predicted model, not a curated record
UUCUUCAACACAAAGCACGCAGCAUCUGCAAAACCCUAGUUCCGUUUCACUCCUUUUCGUGUCCUCUCUCCAUUCCAGUUCCUCGGGUUCUCUUAUAAAUCUCAGCCUUCGGGUGAUCUCCGUCAAUCUGUUUUUUGUUGUGUUUCGAUUUGUAUUGAUAUCGCUCGAUGAAGAUGAUGAGAAGUGUAUGUCGCCCCAGUCUUAUUUGCUUUCAUAUAUCAAAUCAAAACAGGUCUUGCGACACAGUGGGCAUCUCUUACAAUAAGCUCUCUGUUACUUUAUCCCUGCUUAUACUUCAUUCAAUGAUAAUUUGUGUUGUAUAAUGUUCUGAUAAUUGUUGUUUUCGGUUUAUAUUUUUUAAAUGGCUUUCUCUUUUUGUGGUUUGGUGAUGAGGCUCACGAGGUGGGUAAUGGUCCGAAUAAGAUCUGCGUUCUUGACUUUGUUGUCCUAGCGUUGUUUUUACAUGAAGGACCGGAGAAAUCAAAGGCUCUGGGUUACGUUUCAGGAGAGGAUGCACCACUGGAUUUGUUCAUGUGACAUUUUUGUUUUGUUUUUUGAAUAUUGUGUAGAUCUUUACUGCAGUUCAAAGCGUUGUAAUUGCUACAGAGUUGAUGUAAUCGAAUUCUCUGAGAUUAAAAAAUUCAUUUACUUUUCUUGCUAAA